AUCAUGGGAAUUAAACUUUUAAACAUAUAAUCAUGAUUAUAUUCCACUGUAUUGACGAUACUAUAAUCAUGAAUAAAUAUAUACAUAUUUAUAUAUGUUUUGGACUUAAUAGAAUUUAUACAUUAAACAUAAUCAUGAAAUAAAUCAUGUGAACCAUGCAACAUAAAAGCGAUUUCUGAUCUUUAUUAAUUAGUUAAUCUGAUUAUAUUGAAAUGAGUUUUAUUUAGGGCACAAAACCCAACAAGUUCACUAUUAAAAUUGCGAAGAAUAGCUCCAAAACUAGAUUUACGCUCCAUUGUAUUCAUUGAUGCAUCAGUGUGAAGCUUCAGUCGGCCAGAAGGUAGAUUCAACCAUUGUAGUGUAGUAGAACAUGGAGUAGAGUUAUCUACAAUGUUUUUUUUGGCCUCCAAUAUCGAUUUUGUAAUGUGCAUUAUGAUAUUCAAUAACAUAAUUCAGAGCAUAUUGUAACAACACACAGUUGGCUUUGGUUGCUUACCAUGAUAUUCAUUGUUUCGUUCAAUCCAAAUACUUCAUAUGAUGCAAGCAACUUUCUCUAAUUCUUCCUUUGUUAAAAAAUUUGAUAUGUAGAAUAAAAAGGACUUACAAGAAUCAUUAUUGCCAAUGAGAAAGUGGAAAUCCUUAGUAGAUUUGUGAAGUUUUGGUGAAGCUUAAGCCUUUAAACUUAAAGAAUUAAAGAAGUUGGAGUAGCGACUUGGCAUAGAAAUUCAAUGCCAAGGCGCCCCUUUGGAAAAUAAUAGCAAAAAGUUGGAGUAAUGGGUGCUACACACAGGCCAUGGCAUGAGUUUAACCAUGUCGUGGCAUUACAAGGUUGCUGCCCAGAAUUGUGACACACGGGCCAUGGCAUGAUGAAGUCCAUGUCGCAGCCCGCCACUUCUAUUUUUCACCAGGAAGUCAUUUCAAGAAGACACGAGCCACGACAUGGUGAAGCCUAUGCUACAACCCGCAUGUGAAAAUAUUUCUAAAUUAGGCUAAGUAAACCUAAUUCGAAAAAGGGAAGACGGUGACUUUUGAGGAGGCACGAAUUUUGAGAGAAAGAGCAGCCUUGGAGACUACUACCAUUGAUUUUCAACAAGUUAUUUUCUUCUUUCUUUUAUUCUAUGUUCUCAAUUAGUUUUAUGCAAUUUUUUAUAAUGAUUAUUAUGAGCUAAACUCAUAUUUAAGUUUUUUAAAUGGAGAUUGUAUGAUAAUUUCUAUGGAUUAAUGUAAUUAAUUUUUCUCCUUC
Long non-coding RNA from Cannabis sativa, 1243 nucleotides. RefSeq lists it as uncharacterized. The transcript is spliced from 2 exons. The record is from RefSeq and is a predicted model, not a curated record. NCBI's taxonomy places the organism in Eukaryota, Viridiplantae, Streptophyta, Magnoliopsida, Rosales, Cannabaceae.